RNAcentral lists this ribosomal RNA (496 nucleotides) under uncultured bacterium. RNAcentral describes it as "partial 16S ribosomal RNA". It matches the Rfam family "Bacterial small subunit ribosomal RNA", at positions 29 to 507 of the family's 1533-position model. The record is from RNAcentral.
AUGAACGCUGGCGGCGUGCCUAAUCCAUGCAAGUCGAGCGAACAGACGAGGAGCUUGCUCCUCUGACGUUAGCGGCGGACGGGUGAGUAACACGUGGAUAACCUACCUAUAAGACUGGGAUAACUUCGGGAAACCGGAGCUAAUACCGGAUAAUAUAUUGAACCGCAUGGUUCAAUAGUGAAAGACGGUUUUGCUGUCACUUAUAGAUGGAUCCGCGCCGCAUUAGCUAGUUGGUAAGGUAACGGCUUACCAAGGCGACGAUGCGUAGCCGACCUGAGAGGGUGAUCGGCCACACUGGAACUGAGACACGGUCCAGACUCCUACGGGAGGCAGCAGUAGGGAAUCUACCGCAAUGGGCGAAAGCCUGACGGAGCAACGCCGCGUGAGUGAUGAAGGUCUUCGGAUCGUAAAACUCUGUUAUUAGGGAAGAACAAAUGUGUAAGUAACUAUGCACGUCUUGACGGUACCUAAUCAGAAAGCCACGGCUAACUACGUG